RNAcentral lists this ribosomal RNA (406 nucleotides) under uncultured bacterium. Its description in RNAcentral is "partial 16S ribosomal RNA". It matches the Rfam family "Bacterial small subunit ribosomal RNA", at positions 30 to 526 of the family's 1533-position model. The record is from RNAcentral.
AUUGAACGCUGGCGGCAGGCCUAACACAUGCAAGUCGAACGAGCGGCGGACGGGUGAGUAAUGUAUGGGAAUCUGCCCGAUAGAGGGGGAUAACUACUGGAAACGGUAGCUAAUACCGCAUACCAUCGGAUGUACCCAUAUGGGAUUAGCUAGUUGGUGGGGUAACGGCUCACCAAGGCGACGAUCCCUAGCUGGUCUGAGAGGAUGAUCAGCCACACUGGGACUGAGACACGGUCCAGACGCCUACGGGAGGCAGCAGUGGGGAAUAUUGCACAAUGGGCGCAAGCCUGAUGCAGCCAUGCCGCGUGUAUGAAGAAGGCCUUAGGGUUGUAAAGUACUUUCAGCGGGGAGGCGUUACCCGCAGAAGAAGCACCGGCUAACUCCGUGCCAGCAGCCGCGGUAAUAC